GGUCAAGCGAAUAAGCGCACACGGUGGAUGCCUAGGCGGUCAGAGGCGAUGAAGGACGUGGUAGCCUGCGAAAAGUGUCGGGGAGCUGGCAACAAGCUUUGAUCCGGCAAUAUCCGAAUGGGGAAACCCACUGCUUCGGCAGUAUCCUGCAGUGAAUUCAUAGCUGCUGGAAGCGAACCCGGUGAACUGAAAUAUCUAAGUAACCGGAGGAAAAGAAAUCAACCGAGAUUCCCUAAGUAGUGACGAGCGAACGGGGAGCAGCCCUUAAGCUGGAAUGGCUUUAGAAAAACAAUCUGGAAAGAUUGGCCAUAGAAGGUGAUAGCCCUGUAUUUAAAAGGGCCACUCCAGUGAAGACGAGUAGGGCGGGGCACGUGAAACCCUGUCUGAAUAUGGGGGGACCAUCCUCCAAGGCUAAAUACUCCUGACCGACCGAUAGUGAACCAGUACCGUGAGGGAAAGGCGAAAAGAACCCCGGAGAGGGGAGUGAAAUAGAUCCUGAAACCGUGUGCGUACAAGCAGUAGGAGCUCGCAAGAGUGACUGCGUACCUUUUGUAUAAUGGGUCAGCGACUUACUGUUCGUGGCAAGCUUAACCGUAUAGGGGAGGCGAAGGGAAACCGAGUCUGAUAAGGGCGCAUAGUCGCGGGCAGUAGACCCGAAACCGGGUGAUCUAGUCAUGGCCAGGGUGAAGGUGCCGUAACAGGUACUGGAGGCCCGA
RNAcentral lists this ribosomal RNA (716 nucleotides) under Xanthomonas citri pv. malvacearum str. GSPB2388. Its description in RNAcentral is "bacterial LSU rRNA". It matches the Rfam family "Bacterial large subunit ribosomal RNA", at positions 1 to 777 of the family's 2925-position model. Lineage: Bacteria; Pseudomonadati; Pseudomonadota; Gammaproteobacteria; Lysobacterales; Lysobacteraceae. The record is from RNAcentral.